This 120-nucleotide ribosomal RNA is filed under the name uncultured eukaryote. RNAcentral's name for it is "partial small subunit ribosomal RNA". The record is from RNAcentral.
AUUUCCGUAGAAAAGGUACGGGCAAUGCAGAGACUCUUGUUCCGGAUUCUUGGUGGCCGACUGCGGAUGAUCUUGGUGAUCUCGUUUUCUCUGGUCGCCGCGAUCACGGUUGCCGUCGGG